RNAcentral lists this ribosomal RNA (253 nucleotides) under uncultured bacterium. RNAcentral describes it as "partial 16S ribosomal RNA". It matches the Rfam family "Bacterial small subunit ribosomal RNA", at positions 524 to 777 of the family's 1533-position model. The record is from RNAcentral.
UACGUAGGGACCGAGCGUUGUCCGGAAUCAUUGGGCGUAAGAGCGUGUAGGCGGCUAUUUAAGUCCUGCGUGAAAUCCUGCGGCUCAACCGCAGACGGUCGUGGGAAACUGGAUGGCUAGAGUGCGGGAGAGGAGAGUGGAAUUCCCGGUGUAGCGGUGAAAUGCGCAGAUAUCGGGAAGAACACCCGUGGCGAAGGCGGCUCUCUGGAACGCAACUGACGCUGAGACGCGAAAGCGUGGGGAGCAAACAGGG